RNAcentral lists this ribosomal RNA (367 nucleotides) under uncultured Verrucomicrobiota bacterium. RNAcentral's name for it is "bacterial SSU rRNA". It matches the Rfam family "Bacterial small subunit ribosomal RNA", at positions 113 to 480 of the family's 1533-position model. The record is from RNAcentral. Lineage: Bacteria; Pseudomonadati; Verrucomicrobiota.
ACACGUGAGCAACCUACCCUGGAGUGGGGGACAACUCUUCGAAAGGAGGGCUAAUACCGCAUGUAGAUCUUCGGAUCAAAGGUGGCUUCGGCUACCGCUCCUGGAUGGGCUCGCGGCCUAUCAGCUUGUUGGUGAGGUAACGGCUCACCAAGGCUAUGACGGGUAGCUGGUCUGAGAGGACGAUCAGCCUCACUGGAACUGAGACACGGUCCAGACACCUACGGGUGGCAGCAGUCGAGAAUCAUUCACAAUGGGCGAAAGCCUGAUGGUGCAACGCCGCGUGGAGGAUGACGGCCCUAGGGUUGUAAACUCCUGUCAUCUGGGAGUAAUCCUUGUUUGUUAAUAGCGUGCAAGGUUGAUAGUACCA